UAAGAUAAGGUAGGAUUUGAACCUACGGUAUAAUAAUACUUUAGUUUUCAAAACUAACGUUUUAAACCACUCAACCACUUAUCC
Molecule: transfer RNA, 84 nt
Filed under: Melosira undulata
Lineage: Eukaryota; Bacillariophyta; Melosirophyceae; Melosirales; Melosiraceae
Description: tRNA-Ser
Source: RNAcentral